Molecule: signal recognition particle RNA, 267 nt
Filed under: Candidatus Methylomirabilota bacterium
Lineage: Bacteria; Methylomirabilota (SeqCode)
Description: candidate division NC10 bacterium (sediment metagenome) signal recognition particle sRNA large type
Rfam family: Bacterial large signal recognition particle RNA
About the family: The signal recognition particle (SRP) is a universally conserved ribonucleoprotein involved in the co-translational targeting of proteins to membranes. Archaeal SRP consists of a 7S RNA and homologues of the eukaryotic SRP19 and SRP54 proteins. In most bacteria, the SRP consists of a 4.5S RNA and the Ffh protein (a homologue of the eukaryotic SRP54 protein).
Source: RNAcentral
CCGUGCUAGACGGGGAGGUAGCGGUGCCCUGUACCCGCAAUCCGCUAUAGCGGGGUCGAAUUCCUGCCCGAGGUCGCCCGUCACGCGGUCCGGGCUGGUGGGCCGGGGCGUUGAGGGCCGGGUCCCGCGCAGGGCGGGCCUACAAACCCCGCCAGGUCCGGAAGGAAGCAACGGUACGUGGUCCCCCGCCGGUGCCGUGGGGACACUCGGCCGGAGCUGUCGGCUCGCCGGGCCGCCCGCGUGACACGAUCGACGGCAGGUGCACGG